CAGAGUGUGUUCCCUCUGAUGGAAUUUAUAGCCUAAUGAUAUAAAAAAUAAAGUCUUACUUUUAAGACCCUAUAUAUUUAUUUUAUACUUACUUGCUGGAAUAUCUUUAUCCAUCUGGAAUUUAUUUUGUUCUACCAUGUGCCAAUAACCUAGGUCAGUUUUUACUUAACAGAUGGGCAUUUUUCCUAACACUGUUAUUUAAAUAGGGCUUGUGAUUCUCCCUUUAAAAUGGAAAAGUCAUUAUUAAACCAGAGACUCUGACAGUGAAAGUUUCCCCUUAUUGUUCUUUUGUCUCCCGAAAAUUUCUUAGCUGUUCUUUGUUCUUUCUUUUUGGUAUAAAUUUUAGUAUGGCUCUGUCGGGUGCCAUAACAACGUCCAUGGGGACUGUGACUAUUCUCAUUGGUCUUUUAAAUUAAUUGGGAAACUGUUCAUCUUUACUGUAUCCAGUUUUCCCAUCAACGACCAUGGCAUAUUUCUAUAAAAAUGUUAAUGCUACUCAGGAAAUAGCUGUGGUUUUCUGAUUGCAAAUUUUGUGCAAUUCUUGUUACAGUUCGUCCUUGUAUUUUCUAUUCUUACUUGUUCUUAUGAAAGUGAUCUUCGCCCGUUAUGUCUCUAAUAGGCUGGAAUUCUUUUUGCUGUAUCUAACUUCUUUGGCUGCGUAACACAGUAAUUCUCAGUCCUGUGUACAUGGUCUUAUCGCUCACACAGAAUGAUUUCUGUCAUUGAUGGUAGCUUACUUUCAGUGUGUCUCGUGCUACUGAAUUGUGAGAAUCUUUCAGAAUAUUAAACAGUCACAGUGUUAGAUAUCUUUGCUUGUAGAGAUUUUAACAGGAAUAAAGUCAAUGUUUCUGCAUAGAUUUCAAUUUCAAUUUUCUCAUCUGAAAUGAUGAUUACGAUGUCCACCAGGUUCACACGGGGAAGAAGCAGGAAACUGAAAUAACUGUAAAACCCUCUGUCAGGUGGUCAUAUUAUUUUUAAGCUAGGCUAAGUUAACAUUAAUGACACGAGGACCAGACGGCACUCGUCUUUCUAAGAACCACCAUCUCUGGCUGCUGAAGUUUAACACCCAAUCCUGAAAUGCAGCUUUUCUUUCUCUGUUAACUGUUGACACGUGGAAUCAUUUUCGGGUUGGCAUAGAAAACCAAAGAAAAGGACCAUAAACUUUUAUGAAAAUAUUCUCUGGUCUUAUUGUCCAAAUUUAAAUUCAUAUGUUUCUUAGCCUAGUCACUUGUAGGUAACGACCAAAGAGUUACUUACACUGCUCUGGUAUUCAGUUUCUGCAGAGCAGUUCCUAGCUUUGGCCUUUUGGCCUGGGGCUGGAAAUUGUAGGUGAGCAGGGUCAAAUCCCCUGUCUUCAGCCAGUUUGAUGUGGAAGAUACCUGCUCUGUGUAGGUGGCAGACCUUCCCUGUGCAGGUCCGGUGGAAGAGAUCCCAUGUGUGGUGCGGGACAGCUGGCCCUGCAGAGCUCAGCACAAAGGAGGUGGAGAAGCCAGCACUUUCCCCUGGCCAAAUCUGUCCUCAAGCAGCUGAGCAGACUUCCCUAGAACUGCACACCUUCUGCUGUGAUGAGAAUUCUCCCGCACUUGUUAGAUUGCUUUGCUCUUCUUAAUGCUAUUUUUCAGCAGCUCAACAGAUUUGUUCUUGAGUCAUUUAGACACCAGUCCAUGUUUGUAAAGGAAUAUUUCCAGGCAAAGUCUCGGGAGAGGUAUCGAGUGUGUGACCGUUUCGUGAUAAAGCAGGGAGGUGGCCAUCAAGGUCUCAUGCAUUUACUUCCCUGCCACCUGUGCAAUCUCGUUGGUGCCACUUUCCAUGUUGGUGAGCGGGUUGCUCUUCUGCUUAAAAAUGAGCACUGAACUCCCCAGCUUCUUUGUGGAACCAAUAAAGCUAGCAACAAUAAAAAGAGACAAUGCAUACUGGUCAUUAUAGUGCUGUGUGGGGAGUUUGUUUAAGACUUGAGCCCUAAAUGGUUUUUAAUCCCCGGAUGCACUGAUUGUGAUAAUGCAAGAGAGCCAAACCGCUGUCCGUUAUAAAAUCAUUGCAAAUGCCAGCAGAAUAAAAAAAUGGUUAAGAGGGUCUUGUUACAGAUUCUGCUUAUUCCAGAAGGAUUUGGGGAAAGCAAAUCGGCCGUGAUUCUGUUUGGGAGUUGUUCUUGAAAGAUUGCCUUUGAUGUAGGUAAGCCAAAAGGUUAAAGGAGUAAACAGAAUUUAAAUAUAGCUGGUCUUAGUAAUUUUUCUAUUGUUUGAUUUAACUACCUCCUAACAAAAUUAAAAACAAAACAAAACAAAAACAGCCUGCCGGAGCUAGCCCAGAGUGAAAAUCCUUAGGACAUAAAAGCUGUAAAAUCUUGCUAGGGCUUACCUAUAAAAUAUCAUUUUGAUUUGGGUUCCAGAGAAGUGUUUUAGAUCACAAAUUACAAUAAAUCUCCUGGUCUCCAAUAGUGCCUGUGCGUGUAAAGGACAGCCAAGCAGCACCCGAGGAUGCCAUGAUUAAGGAACUGGGGAGAAGGGUGGAACCGAUUCUGGACUUUAUUUUGGCACCUCGCCGAGCUCCAUGCUACCACAAUUAUUGGUUUUCUGAAAUAUGUCCCUAUGUAUUAUUCUGAUAAGAUUACUUGCAUUGCACAACUCUCUGGGAAUAAGGGAACAAUACCAGAAAAUAAAUCUCUCUCUGAAAUUUAAACUCUGCGUCUGUACACUGUUAAGAAGAACAUCUCCAGUUCUCUGAUAAGAGUUGUAUAUCUUCCCUAACUGAAGUGGGUUUUGUUUUUUAAUUAUCCAUAAUAGAAGCCCACAAACAGGCAAAUGACCGCACAGCUGAUGUUUAUGUAAUGGACAGGGUGUUGAAAUAUAGCUCAUGUUCUCACAAGCCCUGAGUGAUGAAAUUCUAAUUUCCUUUGUAAAAAAAGCCACAGUAGAUUGGCUUGGGGUGCGUAACCCCAAGCAUCACCUUUCCAUGGCUGUAGAGUCGCUAGUGUAAUUCUUUUAGAAAUUUUACUAAUGGUUGGGGGGUGGGUGAACAUAAGGACACAUGUGGUACCAUCCCUUACAACUCUCCUGGUUCCCUUUCCAGCUCUGUGAGGUGUUUCAUUUGAAGGAGGUUUCCGAAAAGGAUUCCUGACUUCCUUUCUAUUGGAUCACUUCAGAAAAAGUGGAGUGAAAUCCAUGGGCCAUUUUGGGUGGCCCCAAAGAUGGCACUCUGCCUCAUUCCUAUGAGCCUCAUUUAAGAUCCACAUGUCUUUGUAUGGUCCUGAUACAGCUUUGCUAAAAUUGGAAGGAAGUUACAGCCAGCACGAUUUUGCUGGCCAUCGUGUUUUGUUUUGAGUAACUUCCUGGUGUUUCGGGACUCAGAAAAUGCUGAUAAUUUGUGAGUAACUGCUGGAGGCAGAGAAAACCCACAUUAAUGGAUACCUCCUCCGUGACAAUCAUCUUACCUCUGUUACCAUUCAAGUUCAUCUUUGCAGCAGUCCUGAUGUCUGGGGACAACGAUCUCCACAUUGUACUGGGAAGCCUGCUGGAAGCUGCCUUCCUGGUGGGCAGGAUCUUUCAAAGCAACGGCUGGUCCGGUUACCCAGAGGUCCUGUGUGCUGGGAUGUCACCAUCACCAUUUCUGGCCCUUCUUGGUGAAAUAUGGCCGUGUGGAGGCCUAAAUGGAUAAGACGUUCUCCGUGAAUAUCUUAGCUCUGAGGUGACUCAUCUCAUCUCACCAUGGGUUAAGGCUGUGGGACAGAAAGGAUUGAGAUGACAGUGACAACCGGUGAUUCUUCUUCAUGUUCCUUGUUACACAGUUGCUAACUCAGCCAGGCUCUGGAGAACAGGAGGAUGGGGGGACAGGAACCUCCUGCCUGCUCAAGGUCCUGGUGGGCUUUCACCUCUCCCCACAGGCUGCAUCAUUAAUUCUUCAGGACAGUGGACAACUCCACUAACCUUAAUCUGAUGACUUCCACAGCCCACAGAGAACCUGCUGCUCAGUACCUGUGGGUUGGGUGAAUUACUGAAUGAUGAUGGCAGGAGAAGUGAGCAGAGGCUCUCUUCACACGGGCUUGAAAGCUCGUAUGUUCUCUUAUAACUGCUACCAUAAAGCUACGUCUCAGAUGUGGUCCUGUGUCUCUCUGGCAGGCAGAGAGACACAAUUACCAGCCCCCCUGAAUCCUGAAGAAUAGCUUUUGCUAGAGGAAAAGUUCUCCCUCCUACGAAGGAGAGAGUAAGUUUUACCCCACCUCAGGUGUUCUUAUCCAAAUCCUCAGAAACUAUGACUGUGCAGGCCAUGGUGAGGGGAAUUGAGGCUGCCAUUCAUCUGGCCUUACAACGGCAAGGACUCUAUACCCUCUCGGUGGGCACAGCAUCAUCAACAUGGUUUGAGGGGCGGAGCAGCAGUAGGAGUGAUGUGUCAUGGGAUGUACCCAGCCUCCUGUCUUCUUCCUUAAUUUGUCUGUGGCUUUGGUCACUUGUGGCCAUUAUUAUUAUUAUUAUUAUUAUUAUUAUUUUGAGGCAGGAUAUUGCUAUGGAGCCUAGGCUGGCCUUGAACUUGUCAUCUUCUUGCUUCAGUCUCCUGGGUGCUAAGGUUACAGGCAUGUGCCACCAUACCUGGCUUGGGUUUUAUUCUUGAACUUAGGAAGAGAGUCUAUUUCAGUACAAUACCCUGAGGCCGUGGUGUUACUACUGAGGCUGUGAAAAUUGACUUCGGUAUGGGAAAUGAUUGAAAAUAUCUCACUAGUCAUUAUAGACUGUAAUAAACUUAGGGAAAAAAAUGUAAUGACCGUAUAUGACUGCUGCUGCUUUGGGCAUUGUCACUCAGAGUGUGGUUACUCCAGAGUCCAUCUUUCCAUGGUGGCAUGCAGGUCUCAGCCCCACUCUCUGACUGUGAGGGCACAGAGUGGCCUCCCCGCCCUGCAGUGUUCACAGGGAAACCCCAGAUGGGUGCAGAGGAUGGGGAGAACAGAGCUUUGGAUGGUCAGCAAGGGUGACAGAAGGCCACUAAUGAUAGACAGCUCCUAUUUCAAGAUUACACUCUUUGCCUUUGCUUAAGAAAAUCUUCACUGUAUUGGCUUUCAACACCCUUCUGGGUGAAAUCUCCAAACUGGGAGAUUGCGUGCAUAAUUACAGCAGCUUUGCAAAUUAGCAGGUCGUGUGGACAAAGCAGCUCAGUAGAACAACUUGUGCUCACCCCUAGCAUCAGUAUUCUGUUUCUGGGACAGAGGAGGUGGGUUGUGCCUCCUUCAGCCAAGUGCAGUUCUCUCCUCUUUAGAUGACCUGGCUGUGCACUCAUCUGAGGAACUCCGUGAAAAUAUUUUGAACAUUACAAAGACACACUUACAAAACUUGAUAAGAGGAGUCGUGAGUGUCCCCACCCACUGGGAGUGCUGAGUUAUAAAGAACACGCUCUCAUCACCUCCUGGACUUGGCUGCACGGUUCAUUCAGGACACACCCCAGAGAUGGCUUCUUCAGUUCAAAGUCACUGACGUCAUUUUGGUGAAGAAUAAGCUCUCGGAGUCCAGUGUUACUCAGGCCAGAUGGUUCAGAGUUUUUGGAAUAUGCCUUCAGCUAUGUCAAGAGAUGUUUCAUAGUCCACUCAUGAGUCUUCUCUAUUUCUUUAUCAGCUACGUGCAUAAAAUCAAGCAGGUGAGCAGCCAAACCACACUUUCUUUGCAUCACCGGUGAAAACUUGAAGACCAUUUGACGAUCUCUUCAGAAUAUCCAGCAAAGAAGGGAAGAAAAGAACAAUACCUAAAGCACCCAAUUCCUGCGUCCAAGCAGACAGUUUAACCCUUGGGUCAUGGUGUGUGUAUUUCACUUACUGGAUCACUAAUAGAUUUUCUUCAUUUGUGCGAGAUGUGGAGAAAGAUGUGUCAGGACCGGCCGGUUCCUCCAGCGCGGGGAUCCCAGGUCCACCUGUAAGGAGAUGGUGGUAAAAGCUGCUGGAGUGGCUGCCUCCUGACAACAUCCCAGCUGUGGACUAGCAAUCGCAAUCCUCGGGUGGCAGUUUUAAUUAUCGGGACGGCGAUACCAUCAGCAAGUGUGUAAUUACGUGUCAGUUUCCUGGCUGUUGGGUAUGAAAAGUGGAUCCAGUGAAAUGAUUGUAGAAACUGUAGGCUCACAUUUAAACAAUUCCAAAUGUGUAACUGGCAGUGUCAUUAAGCAGAGAGAGCCUGACCCCAGCUGUCACUUACUUUUCCUUAUGCAGAUUUGUUCGUGCAGUCUGUCAAGAGAACUCCAUGGGCUGAAAUGGGACGGAAGAGGUGACAUAAUUCUCAGAGCAAAGGGGGCUGCUCUCCUUAACUCACAGAGGUGUUCUUGUAGCCUAAACAAAUAGGACCGCUGAAACUGUAAAUAAACCAAGACCAUUACAGGAGAUGAUACAGACUUUCUCUGAUGAACACACAGAGGCGGAAUACCAGGCACCCUACACUUAAACAUGCAAAGAAAACCUGUCCUGCCUGUUGCCAGGCACUUAAAACAUAAGUGCUGUGGUAAUUAGGAGGGUUUAUUUUUGAAGCAGAAAAACAAAUGACCCUUUUUAUUUUGGACUAAAAUUUGGGGUCCAAGAUGAAAAAAAAGUGAGGCUUAUUUUGACCAGUGCUUCUCAUUGUAUGAACAAUGAGAAAUUUGAUUGGAUGAAGAUAUUAAACUCCAGUAUAGCUUAAGUUAUAAGUGUGAUGGCCUCAGAUGUUUUGAAUACAGUUGGGAAAACUGAAAUACAUAUGCUAAACAAAUGAAGUUAAAAAUAGGCUCGAGCGGCUUUCUAAGGAGGGUGGGCUAAGACAUGAGGAAGAUUCAAAUUUCUGCAAAUGUAAUUACACAGUUCUGCAGCGGACUAACUGAACACUCCUGGGAAUGGGCUCUCAAAACCCUUCCUCUGCUUGGCACAUCCCCAAAAGAGCUGGGUAAGCAAGGGUUAAGUCUGCAUGCAUGCAAAAAGAAAUGCAGAGAGCGUUUCUAAAAUGAACUGUGGGGGUUAAGUGUGGAGUUAAACUAACACAAUGAGCUAUGAACACAAAGAAAAAUGUUUCUUUAAUUUUUAAAAUGUUUCCAUUUCUCAUAAUAAACCAAACUUGCAGUUGCAUACAAACAACAUUAUUUCAUACCCUGAAGACACUGCAAUUUAAAGCGUUCAGAGCUGCGAUUGAUUCUAGAAGCAAGGCUGUAACUGCAGAGCUUUAGCAGUUGUGUCAGUGCACCUCCGUGAUCCCGGCUGAAAGUCAAUGCCCGCACACACGCACACGUGCAGGUAGGAGGCACUUAAAACAGGGUCAACUUUGCAUUUAUUCCUAGUUUCAAAGGCAAAGUAAGUGAUUUUUCUCACAGGCUAAUGGAAGCCAUAUUAAUUGCCAUGGUACAUUCAGAUUUGAAAGUAAUAAAUAGGCACAUAUUAAACCCUCUAAGGAUUAAUUUGUAUUUUAUCAGCUGUGAAAAGGGCAAUUUUUUUACAUAUCUAGACUUAAGAGGUAGCCUUAUUAGGCGUUCAUUGGAAAACAAAUUCUGCAUAUAUUUUGUAGCUAGGU
This is a long non-coding RNA of Castor canadensis (American beaver), 7499 nucleotides long. RefSeq lists it as uncharacterized. The record is from RefSeq and is a predicted model, not a curated record. Lineage: Eukaryota; Metazoa; Chordata; Mammalia; Rodentia; Castoridae.